GGCAACAGCCAUAUCACCCUGUAGCCCAAGACUGGUUGCCCACUGAAGCUAAGUAGGGUUUAGUCUGGUCAGUACCUGGAUGGGAGACCUCCUGGGAAAACUAGGUUGCUGCUGGAA
This is a ribosomal RNA of Sinocyclocheilus anshuiensis, 117 nucleotides long. The record is from Ensembl. Lineage: Eukaryota; Metazoa; Chordata; Actinopteri; Cypriniformes; Cyprinidae.